GCCACUGCCACGCCAGGGCCCUGGCCAUCCUGCGGGCACGGCCAGGCGGGGCCGACGGCAGGGUUCACACCAAGGAGGCCAUCGCCUACCUGUCUCUGGCCAUCUUUGCCGCAGGAAGCCAGGCAAGUGAGUCCCUCCUUGCCCGAGCCCGCUGCUAUGGGUUCCUGGGCCAGAAGAAGACGGCCAUGUUCGACUUCAACACAGUGCUGCGGGCUGAGCCGGGGAACGUGCAGGCACUGUGUGGACGGGCGUUGGUGCACCUGGCCCUAGACCAGCUGCAGGAAGCCGUGGACGACAUCGUCUCUGCUCUGAAGCUCGGCCCCGGGACUGUGGUCCCUGAGCUCCGCUCUCUGAAGCCGGAAGCCCAGGCCCUCAUCACACAGGGCCUCUACUCCCACUGCCGGGCCCUUCUGAGCCAGCUGCCAGACACUGGGGCCCCUCUCGAGGACAAGGACACCCAGGGCCUCCUUGCUGUGGGGGAGGCGCUGAUCAAAAUCGACUCAGGGCAACCGCACUGGCACCUCCUCCUGGCAGACAUUCUCAUGGCACAGGGCAGCUACGAGGAAGCUGGCACCCACCUGGAAAAAGCCCUGCACCGUGCCCCAACGUCAGAGGCAGCCCGGGCCCGGCUGGGCCUGCUCCAGCUCAAGAAGGGAGACGUGCCAGGGGCUGCAAGGGACCUGCAGAGCCUGGCCGAGGUGGAUGCCCCGGAUCUCAGCUGCCUGCUGCAUCUCCUGGAGGCCUCGGAGCGGCAGAGCCUUGCCCAGGCGGCGGCCCAGGAAGCCGGCACCCUCCUGGACGCAGGGCAACCCAGGCAGGCGCUGGGCUACUGUUCGCUGUCUGUCCUGGCCAGUGGCAGCAGUGCCUGUCACCUGCGUCUGCGGGCCACCUGCCUGGCCGAGCUGCAGGAGUUUGGCCGGGCCCUUAGGGACCUGGACCAUGUGCUCCAGGAGGCGCUGGGGGAUGGUGACCUCCCAAGGCGGGCAGAGGACUUCUGCCGUCAGGGUCGCCUGCUGCUGAGCCUGGGGGAUGAGGCGGCGGCCGCAGGGGCCUUUGCCCAGGCCCUGAAGCUGGCGCCCUCCUUGGCCCAGAACAGCCUGUGCAGGCAGCCAGGCCGGGCCCCCACUGCACGCAUGUUCCUUCUCCGCGGGCAGUGCUGCCUGGAGGAGCAGCGUCACGCAGAGGCCUGGACGGCGGUAGAGAGCGGCCUCCUGGUGGACCCCGACCACCGUGGCCUGAAGAGACUGAAGGCCAGAAUCCGGAGGGAGGCAUCCUCAGGCUGCUGGCUACAGUGACUGGGCCUGACCCUCUCCCAGCCCUAAUCACGGGGGCCACGACCCCCCCUCCUGGCUUCUCUCUCCUCCUGGGCACUUGCAUUUGUCCCAUUUCUCUCUAGGGAAUCAUGGAGGUUGCAACCACAAAAUUCAGAGAGGUGACCUGGCUGGCGACACUGGUGAUAAUGGUCACCUGCCAUGCAGCCUUUCAGCUCAGGUGGGCACACUCCUCUGCCCCUGCCCACUUCCUCUCCCAGGUGAAUCUUGACCACACCUGUGCCUGGCACUGUGCACACAUUCUCUGUUGUUCAACUCUGCGAUCAAUCUGGAAAAAAAAGAAAAAAAAAAAACCUUUUUAGGAGAGUAAAAGGAAAAUAAAUCUUGGGGCCCCAAAAUCACUAAGCCAAAGGGAAAAGUCAAGCUGGGAACUGCUUAGGGCAAGCCUGCCUCCAAUUCCAUUCAAAGUCAUUCCCCCGCUCGCUGAGAUAGAUGCAUAUCUGAUUGCCUUCUUUGGAAAGGCUCAUCAGAAACUCAAAAGAAUGUAACUCUAUCUUACAUGUGUUGAUUGAUGUCUCAUAUCUCCCUAAAAUGUAUAAAACCAAGCUGUCCUCUGACCACCCUGGGCACAUGUCAGGACCUCCUGAGGCUGUGUCACAGGUGUGCAUCCUUAAUUUUGGCAAAAUAAACUUCCCAAAUUGGCUGAGA
This 1979-nucleotide unclassified non-coding RNA is filed under the name Homo sapiens (human). RNAcentral describes it as "tetratricopeptide repeat domain 34 (ENSG00000275571.2)". The record is from RNAcentral. Lineage: Eukaryota; Metazoa; Chordata; Mammalia; Primates; Hominidae.